This 115-nucleotide small RNA is filed under the name Salmonella enterica. Its description in RNAcentral is "RtT sRNA". It matches the Rfam family "RtT RNA". From Rfam's summary of the family: This family represents a bacterial cis-regulatory element known as RtT RNA. The exact function of RtT is unknown although it is thought that it may be involved in changing the cellular response in relation to amino acid starvation. Lineage: Bacteria; Pseudomonadati; Pseudomonadota; Gammaproteobacteria; Enterobacterales; Enterobacteriaceae. The record is from RNAcentral. RNAcentral also lists the same sequence under 3 other names.
AUCUGAAGUCUGACGAGGAUGAGAACCUCCGGGGGCAAGAGGUUCGACCCGAGCGAAGCGAGAGAACGUUGCGUCAGCAACGGCCCGCAGGGCGAGCCAUCCUCUAUCACCGGCA